UUAAAAAUACGCAUGGGAAGCUGACAAUGUCUAUAACCCAUCAAACAGCUCUUUACAAUAGGAACUUAAUUACUUUUUACUUAGGGAAAAUUACUUUCUGAAACACUGACUGAUUUGGGGAGCUCAACCAACAUUUGUGUGUGUGUGUGUGUGUAUGUGUG
This is a long non-coding RNA of Dipodomys spectabilis (banner-tailed kangaroo rat), 161 nucleotides long. RefSeq lists it as uncharacterized. The record is from RefSeq and is a predicted model, not a curated record. The transcript has 3 exons. NCBI's taxonomy places the organism in Eukaryota, Metazoa, Chordata, Mammalia, Rodentia, Heteromyidae.